RNAcentral lists this ribosomal RNA (257 nucleotides) under uncultured bacterium. Its description in RNAcentral is "partial 16S ribosomal RNA". It matches the Rfam family "Bacterial small subunit ribosomal RNA", at positions 96 to 353 of the family's 1533-position model. The record is from RNAcentral.
CGGCGGACGGGCGAGUAAUGUCUGGGAAACUGCCUGAUGGAGGGGGGAUAACUACUGGAAACGGUAGCUAAUACCGCAUAACGUCGCAAGACCAAAGAGGGGGACCUUCGGGCCUCUUGCCAUCAGAUGUGCCCAGAUGGGAUUAGCUAGUAGGUGGGGUAACGGCUCACCUAGGCGACGAUCCCUAGCUGGUCUGAGAGGAUGACCAGCCACACUGGAACUGAGACACGGUCCAGACUCCUACGGGAGGCAGCAUG